UGUUCCUGGAGGGACUGAAAUGGCCACCAGUUUAGCCUGCGGAACAUCUGCAAACCCUGUCUCCCUGACCGGGGGAUGCUGGGAACUAUUUCCCUUGAUAUGGCCAAAAAAAACCCUAACAAACCACCAUCUGCCUGAACUUCUUCAGAGCAGGGUGAUGACGCACAGGGCCCCCUCUGCCACCUGGAAUUAGGGGGGCCAGCACCUUUCAAAGCCUCUGCUCUAAUAAAGGGCCCCACGCUUCAAAUGCCUUUCCAGACUCCUCGUAAGAGCUGACUGGUGAUAAAUUAUGCAAAUGGAGCGUGGCGGUCAGGGCCUGGCCUGCUUGGUGAUCUGCCGAUGCCCUAGAUGGGACUGAGGGGUUUGAACCUGUGUGCGUAUCUGGAUGCUGCUGAUUUAUUCUCUCCUUUAGAAAGCUGCCACUGCUGGGGAUUGGGAUUUGCCAUCGCUCCCCCUGCAGAUCUAGGGAAUGAAGCAGCACUGGGGGUGGCAGCAAAGGCAGAGAAACUCAGCAGCCUGGAGAGUAUAACGGGGUGAGCGCUGCAGGCUACUUCGGCAAGCAAUAAAAUCACACGGGGAUCUGGGCUCACUAAGGAGACGAACCAAUCUGUACUGCUGCAGUUGUCAGCUGUGUACAGACUGUGCUGGGCCAGGCCCUGCUGUGAAACCAACCCGGAAAAGGCAGAGAGAGAUCAGAAACAUUUUAACCAGGACUGCAGC
Molecule: long non-coding RNA, 720 nt
Organism: Malaclemys terrapin pileata
Lineage: Eukaryota; Metazoa; Chordata; Testudines; Emydidae
Exons: 3
Source: RefSeq, a predicted model, not a curated record